Molecule: ribosomal RNA, 707 nt
Filed under: uncultured bacterium
Lineage: Bacteria
Description: bacterial SSU rRNA
Rfam family: Bacterial small subunit ribosomal RNA
Source: RNAcentral
AGUGGCGGACGGGUGAGUAACACGUGAGCAACCUGCCUUUCAGAGGGGGAUAACGUUUGGAAACGAACGCUAAUACCGCAUAAAAUAUCGGAGUCGCAUGGCACUGAUAUCAAAGGAGCAAUCCGCUGAAAGAUGGGCUCGCGUCCGAUUAGGCAGUUGGCGGGGUAACGGCCCACCAAACCGACAAUCGGUAGCCGGACUGAGAGGUUGAACGGCCACAUUGGGACUGAGACACGGCCCAGACUCCUACGGGAGGCAGCAGUGGGGGGUAUUGCACAAUGGGGGAAACCCUGAUGCAGCGAUGCCGCGUGAAUGAAGACGGCCUUCGGGUUGUAAAGUUCUGUCGCAGGGGACGAAAAUGACGGUACCCUGCAAGAAAGCUCCGGCUAACUACGUGCCAGCAGCCGCGGUAAUACGUAGGGAGCAAGCGUUGUCCGGAAUUACUGGGUGUAAAGGGAGCGUAGGCGGGAGGAUAAGUUGAAUGUGAAAUCUAUGGGCUCAACCCAUAGCUGCGUUCAAAACUGUUCUUCUUGAGUGAAGUAGAGGCAGGCGGAAUUCCUAGUGUAGCGGUGAAAUGCGUAGAUAUUAGGAGGAACACCAGUGGCGAAGGCGGCCUGCUGGGCUUUUACUGACGCUGAGGCUCGAAAGCGUGGGUAGCAAACAGGAUUAGAUACCCUGGUAGUCCACGCGGUAAACGAUGAUUACUA